This is a small nuclear RNA of Beta vulgaris subsp. vulgaris (sugar beet), 103 nucleotides long. The record is from Rfam. NCBI's taxonomy places the organism in Eukaryota, Viridiplantae, Streptophyta, Magnoliopsida, Caryophyllales, Amaranthaceae.
GUCUCUUCGGAGACAUCCGAUAAAAUUGGAACGAUACAAAGAAUAUUAGCAUGGCCCCUGCUCUAGGAUGACAUGCACAAAUUGAGAAACGGUCUAGGGUUGU